RNAcentral lists this ribosomal RNA (253 nucleotides) under uncultured bacterium. Its description in RNAcentral is "partial 16S ribosomal RNA". It matches the Rfam family "Bacterial small subunit ribosomal RNA", at positions 524 to 776 of the family's 1533-position model. The record is from RNAcentral.
UACGGAGGGUGCGAGCGUUGUUCGGAAUCACUGGGCGUAAAGCGCGCGUAGGCGGUCUGCUAAGUCUGAUGUGAAAGCCCGGGGCUCACCCCCGGAAGUGCAUUGGAAACUGACAGACUGGAGUCCCGGAGAGGAGGGUGGAAUUUACGGUGUAGCAGUGAAAUGCGUAGAUAUCGUAAGGAAGACCAGUGGCGAAGGCGAGUCUCUGGACAGUUACUGACGCUGAGGCACGAAGGCCAGGGGAGCAAACGGG